Molecule: ribosomal RNA, 484 nt
Filed under: uncultured bacterium
Lineage: Bacteria
Description: bacterial SSU rRNA
Rfam family: Bacterial small subunit ribosomal RNA
Source: RNAcentral
AGAGUUUGAUCCUGGCUCAGAUUGAACGCUGGCGGUAUGCUUUACACAUGCAAGUCGAACGGCAGCACGGGGCAACCUGGUGGCGAGUGGCGAACGGGUGAGUAAUAUAUCGGAACAUGUCCGGAAGUGGGGGAUAACGUAGCGAAAGUUACGCUAAUACCGCAUAUGCCCUGAGGAGGAAAGGGGGGGAUCGCAAGACCUCUCGCUUUCGGAGUGGCCGAUAUCGGAUUAGCUAGUAGGUGAGGUAAAGGCUCACCUAGGCGACGAUCCGUAGCGGGUCUGAGAGGACGACCCGCCACACUGGAACUGAGACACGGUCCAGACUCCUACGGGAGGCAGCAGUGGGGAAUUUUGGACAAUGGGCGCAAGCCUGAUCCAGCCAUACCGCGUGAGUGAAGAAGGCCUUCGGGUUGUAAAGCUCUUUCAGCCGGAAAGAAAUCGCGCUUAUUAAUACUAAGUGUGGAUGACGGUACCGAAGAAGAAG